AGUGAACGCUGGCGGUAGGCCUAACACAUGCAAGUCGAACGGCAGCACAGGAGAGCUUGCUCUUUGGGUGGCGAGUGGCGGACGGGUGAGGAAUACAUCGGAAUCUACUCUGUCGUGAGGGAUAACGUAGGGAAACUUACGCUAAUACCGCAUACGAACUACGGGUGAAAGCAGGGGACCUGCGGGCCUUGCGCGAAGUAAUGAGCCGAUGUCGGAUUAGCUAGUUGGCGGGGUAAAGGCCCACCAAGGCGACGAUCCGUAGCUGGUCUGAGAGGAUGAUCAGCCACACUGGAACUGAGACACGGUCCAGACUCCUACGGGAGGCAGCAGUGGGGAAUAUUGGACAAUGGGCGCAAGCCUGAUCCAGCCAUACCGCGUGGGUGAAGAAGGCCUUCGGGUUGUAAAGCCCUUUUGUUGGGAAAGAAAUCCAGCUGGCUAAUACCCGGUUGGGAUGACGGUACCCAAAGAAUAAGCACCGGCUAACUUCGUGCCAGCAGCCGCAGUAA
This 506-nucleotide ribosomal RNA is filed under the name uncultured bacterium. RNAcentral's name for it is "partial 16S ribosomal RNA". It matches the Rfam family "Bacterial small subunit ribosomal RNA", at positions 29 to 523 of the family's 1533-position model. The record is from RNAcentral.